This 777-nucleotide long non-coding RNA is filed under the name Macaca mulatta (Rhesus monkey). RNAcentral's name for it is "lncRNA (ENSMMUG00000055009.1)". Lineage: Eukaryota; Metazoa; Chordata; Mammalia; Primates; Cercopithecidae. The record is from RNAcentral.
AGAGAGUGUUGCAAGAAAUUAACUACUUACAGAAGAUAAAUCGACAAGAAAGGACAGAGGAGGACUUGACAAAAAUCGAGCAGGUGGGCAGACACUGAAAUUUUUCAGGAGACUGAGCUUGUGGGCAAGUCACUUGGAAGAAGUUCAAACGUCAUGUAUAUUACUGAUGUUGACAACUCUAACUGCAGGACACAGGAGAAGCAAUCCUAGCUGGGGUAGAGCUGGCAUUUUCAAGUAGCACAUCUGUGUGCAAAAAGAGAGAACGUGGUGUCCAAGCUUCAGGAUCUGACCCCAGAAGCCUCGCCAGCGGCGUCAGUCCGGCUUGCACUUCGGUCUGAGCUGCACUCGGGGGAAGCGUCGGGCUGUUUAGCCGCCGUAUCCCCUGGCAAUCUGUUCAGGAAAAUAGACAAGAAAGGGCUGCCCAGGGCUGCGCCAGCUUCAGAAUCCUGCUGCCAUCUAGGGAUGAGAUGAAGCGUCUUCCAGCAUGCAGCCGCCCUGAUGGAUCGCUGGGGCCUCGGGCGGGGUGCGCCGCUGUCCUUUCGCAGCCGUCCGGGCGGCUCUGCACGUGCAGCGCGCGGUCCCCACGCCCCCCCCCCCACCCCGCCCAGCAGCCCGCAACACCCCUGGUCUGCCGCGGGGGACCCUGCCGAUGCCUUUCGGGGUCGAGACUGGCGCGGUGGAAACCGCAGAGCAAAAGGAAACACAGACAAAAACAGUGAGAAGGAGAGAGGGCGUGUGGUGCUUUGCCAGAGAGGAUCUUGGAUGGAAAUCACCUAA